RNAcentral lists this ribosomal RNA (252 nucleotides) under uncultured bacterium. RNAcentral's name for it is "partial 16S ribosomal RNA". It matches the Rfam family "Bacterial small subunit ribosomal RNA", at positions 524 to 769 of the family's 1533-position model. The record is from RNAcentral.
UACGUAGGGUGCAAGCGUUAAUCGGAAUUACUGGGCGUAAAGCGUGCGCAGGCGGUCUUGCAAGACAGAUGUGAAAAUCCCCGGGCUCAACCUGGGAACUGCAUUUGUGACUGCAAGGCUGGAGUGCGGCAGAGGGGGGAUGGAAUUCCGCGUGUAGCAGCGAAAAUGCGUAGAUAUGCGGAGGAACACCGAUGGCGAAAGGCAAAUCCCCUGGGCCUGCACUGACGCUCAUGCACGAAAAGCGUGGGGAGC